GUGACGGCAGCACAAGGAGGAGCAGCAGCGCUGGGGUCACAAGAAGGGGUGCAAAUCAUAGAUCUGUUAAAACAAUCAUAUCGCUAAUUAGCGUUGGCCCCCCACUUAUUAUAUCUGCAAAACCUCCGGAUUCCACCCGUUAAUCAAGCAAUGGUCAGAUACGACUCAGAUUUACCACCAUAAUGUCCAACAGCUACUCUGACCAAUUGAUUGAUCCCUUCACCGAC
This 227-nucleotide long non-coding RNA is filed under the name Setaria viridis. RNAcentral's name for it is "long non-coding RNA (SVIR_LNC007002)". The record is from RNAcentral. Lineage: Eukaryota; Viridiplantae; Streptophyta; Magnoliopsida; Poales; Poaceae.